UAUACCCUCGCUCCAACUACCCUUGGUAGUGUGCUCUUCAGUGAGCCGAGGAGCGGAUCUGGCCUCCCCAAACCGCAUCAGUGGGUUGGGUUGGCUGAAGUGCAGAGGCUAGAGCUAGGACCCGUUUGGGCCUCAACUGGAUAGGUAGCACCGGCUUCGGCCGACUACACGAAGUUGUGGCUGCGGUCCUUGCUGGCGGCCAGCAGGAAAGCGCUUCCAAGCGCUAUCUAAACUAUCGACCUGAGCUCAGGCAAGACUACCCGCUGAACUUAAGCAUAUCAAUAAGCGGAGGAAAAGAAACUAACAAGGAUUCCCCUAGUAACGGCGAGCGAACCGGGAAAAGCCCAACUUGAAAAUCUCCCUCGGAGAAUUGUAGUCUAUAGAAGUACCCUCUGCAACGGGCUGAACCAAAGUCUCCUGGAAAGGGGCGUCAGAGAGGGUGAGAACCCCGUAGGUUCAUGCUUUGUUGCCUCACGAGGUGCUUUCGCAGAGUCGGGUUGCUUGGGAAUGCAGCCCAAAUUUGGUGGUAAAUCCCACCUAAGGCUAAAUACUGGCGAGAGACCGAUAGCGAACAAGUACCGUGAGGGAAAGAUGAAAAGAACUUUGAAAAGAGAGUUAAAAAGUGCUUGAAAUUGUUGAGGGGGAAGCGAUUGGAGGCUAUGGGUGCGCCUAGGCUUAUGCGUCCUUAACGGGCCGCUGCAUGUGCUAGGUGCUGGUCAGCAAGGGUUGGGCUGGCAGGAUAACAGCCGGGGUUGUUACCCGGUCUAUACUGCCGGCCCGACCAAGGCCUGAAGGCUGCCUUUGUCCCUCGGGAACUGCAGCCUCAAGUUGCUGGCGAAAGGUUUCCAAUUGGCCCGUCUUGAAACACGGACCAAGGAGUCUAACAUGUAUGCGAGUUGGUGGGUGGAAAACCCAUAAGCGCAAGUAACCUGACUGGUGGGAUGGCCUGUGCCUGCACCAUCGACCGACCAUGAGCUUCUGCGAAAGGUUUGAGUGCGAGCAUACCUGUUGGGACCCGAAAGAUGGUGAACUAUGCCUGAGCAGGGUGAAGCCAGAGGAAACUCUGGUGGAGGCUCGUAGAUGUGCUGACGUGCAAAUCGCUUUUCGGACUUGGGUAUAGGGGCGAAAGACUAAUCGAACCAUCUAGUAGCUGGUUCCCUC
This 1161-nucleotide unclassified non-coding RNA is filed under the name uncultured soil eukaryote. RNAcentral's name for it is "sequence contains 18S rRNA gene, ITS1, ITS2, 28S rRNA gene". The stretch from base 237 to 1161 matches the Rfam family "Eukaryotic large subunit ribosomal RNA", at positions 1 to 961 of the family's 3401-position model. The record is from RNAcentral.